AUAAAGUUUUAUUUUAGCUUAAAAAUUUAUUUUUAGUUUGAUUUAUAUGUAAAUUUUUGUGGGUGAUUUUAUUUAUUUAAAUAAUAUUUAAAUUUUAUUUAAUUCGCAGUAAUUGAUUUUAUUAAUUAAAGAAAUUUAGAUAUAGUAAUAUUAUGUUGUAUUGACUUAAUUUGUGCCAGCAGUCGCGGUUAUACGAAUGAAUGCAAAUAAAUUUUAUUGGUUAAAGUUAAAUAGAUUUGUUUAAUUAAUUAAUUAUAGAUUUGUUAGGUGAAAUUUUAAUUUUAUAGAAGUUUAUGUUAAUAAUAAUUGAAGCUUGAAAAUUUGAUUAUUAAACUAGGAUUAGAUACCCUAUUAUUAGAAAUGUAAAUAUUAAACUGAGGUAGUAGUAGUUAUGUUCUUGAAACUUAAAAAAUUUGGCGGUAUUUUAAGUCUAUUCAGAGGAACCUGUUCUGUAAUCGAUGCUCCACGAUGGACCUUACUUAAAUUUGUUAUUCAAUUUAUAUACCGUUGUUAUUAGAAUAUUUUAUGAGGAGGUUAAUUUUCAUAAUUUUUAAAUGAAAAAAUAUCAGAUCAAGGUGUAAUUGAUGUUUAAGAAGUAAUGGGUUACAAUAAAUUUAUUUAAGAUGGAUGUAAAUUUGAAAUAGUUUAUUGAAGGCGGAUUUGUUAGUAAAAUUAUAAAGAUUAAUAAUUUGAUUUUAGCUCUAAAAUAUGCACACAUCGCCCGUCACUCUUAUUUAUAAAGUAAGAUAAGUCGUAACAUAGUAGAUGUACUGGAAAGUGUAUCUAGAAUGC
RNAcentral lists this non-coding RNA (792 nucleotides) under Cephalopina titillator. The record is from RNAcentral. Lineage: Eukaryota; Metazoa; Arthropoda; Insecta; Diptera; Oestridae.